This is a non-coding RNA of Peromyscus maniculatus bairdii (prairie deer mouse), 441 nucleotides long. Lineage: Eukaryota; Metazoa; Chordata; Mammalia; Rodentia; Cricetidae. The record is from RefSeq and is a predicted model, not a curated record.
GAAGGUUCCUCAGCUGGCCUGGAACUCUAAGGAUGCGGGUUUCAUGAGUUGUCAUCCAUGCCGGGUGGGCUUUUGUUCAAGCAGCUACUAUGGAGUCAUCCAUGGUCCUAUAGGGAACUCCCCAGCCACACCACUUCCAUCUCCUGAAACCACGGUACUGCUGCUGUCAGACUGGGUCCUCUCACAACAGUUAAGACAACCACCCACAGACAUGCACAGGCCAAUCUCGUCUGGACAAUCUCUAAUUGAGACUCUCCUCCCAGAAUACUGCCUUGCCAUCUGAGGGGAAACAAACAAAGUCAACAAGCAAGUGUCUCUUGAGACUCAUCAGAGAAAACGCAUUGGCAUGGAUGUUAAAAAAAGGAAAGCAUUUCUUACACAAUAAAAGCCAGGUGAGACAUGCAAAAUACGCUUGGCACCACCAAGGUGCACAAAGUGCCU